This 492-nucleotide ribosomal RNA is filed under the name uncultured bacterium. RNAcentral describes it as "partial 16S ribosomal RNA". It matches the Rfam family "Bacterial small subunit ribosomal RNA", at positions 29 to 507 of the family's 1533-position model. The record is from RNAcentral.
AGUGAACGCUGGCGGUAGGCCUAACACAUGCAAGUCGAACGGCAGCACAGUAAGCGCUUGCUCUUACGGGUGGCGAGUGGCGGACGGGUGAGGAAUACAUCGGAAUCUACUUUUUCGUGGGUGAUAACGUAGGGAAACUUACGCUAAUACCGCAUACGACCUACGGGUGAAAGCAGGGGAUCUUCGGACCUUUCGCGAUUGAAUGAGCCGAUGUCGGAUUAGCUAGUUGGCGGGGUAAAGGCCCACCAAGGCGACGAUCCGUAGCUGGUCUGAGAGGAUGAUCAGCCACACUGGAACUGAGACACGGUCCAGACUCCUACGGGAGGCAGCAGUGGGGAAUAUUGGACAAUGGGCGCAAGCCUGAUCCAGCCAUACCGCGUGGGUGAAGAAGGCCUUCGGGUUGUAAAGCCCUUUUGUUGGGAAAGAAAAGCAGCAGGUUAAUACCCCGCUGUUCUGACGGUACCCAAAGAAUAAGCACCGGCUAACUUCGUG